This 484-nucleotide ribosomal RNA is filed under the name uncultured bacterium. RNAcentral's name for it is "partial 16S ribosomal RNA". It matches the Rfam family "Bacterial small subunit ribosomal RNA", at positions 30 to 507 of the family's 1533-position model. The record is from RNAcentral.
AUUGAACGCUGGCGGCAGGCCUAACACAUGCAAGUCGAGCGGAUGAAGGGAGCUUGCUCCUGGAUUCAGCGGCGGACGGGUGAGUAAUGCCUAGGAAUCUGCCUGGUAGUGGGUGAUAACGUCCGGAAACGGGCGCUAAUACCGCAUACGUCCUGAGGGAGAAAGUGGGGGAUCUUCGGACCUCACGCUAUCAGAUGAGCCUAGGUCGGAUUAGCUAGUUGGUGGGGUAAAGGCCUACCAAGGCGACGAUCCGUAAAUGGUCUGAGAGGAUGAUCAGUCACACUGGAACUGAGACACGGUCCAGACUCCUACGGGAGGCAGCAGUGGGGAAUAUUGGACAAUGGGCGAAAGCCUGAUCCAGCCAUGCCGCGUGUGUGAAGAAGGUCUUCGGAUUGUAAAGCACUUUAAGUUGGGAGGAAGGGCAGUAAGUUAAUACCUUGCUGUUUUGACGUUACCAACAGAAUAAGCACCGGCUAACUUCGUG